RNAcentral lists this ribosomal RNA (252 nucleotides) under uncultured bacterium. RNAcentral's name for it is "partial 16S ribosomal RNA". It matches the Rfam family "Bacterial small subunit ribosomal RNA", at positions 524 to 776 of the family's 1533-position model. The record is from RNAcentral.
UACGGGGGGGCAAGCGUUGUUCGGAAUUACUGGGCGUAAAGGGCUCGUAGGUGGCCAACUAAGUCAGACGUGAAAUCCCUCGGCUUAACCGGGGAACUGCGUCUGAUACUGGUUGGCUUGAGUUUGGGAGAGGGACGCGGAAUUCCAGGUGUAGCGGUGAAAUGCGUAGAUAUCUGGAGGAACACCGGUGGCGAAGGCGGUUCUCUGGGCCUGUACUGACGCUGAGGAGCGAAAGCGUGGGGAGCGAACAGG